RNAcentral lists this ribosomal RNA (204 nucleotides) under uncultured bacterium. Its description in RNAcentral is "partial 16S ribosomal RNA". It matches the Rfam family "Bacterial small subunit ribosomal RNA", at positions 524 to 720 of the family's 1533-position model. The record is from RNAcentral.
UACGAAGGGGGCUAGGCGUUGCUCGGAAUCACUGGGCGUAAAGGCGCACGUAGGCGGAGUUGCUAAGUCAGGGGUGAAAUCCUGGGAGCUCAACGUCCAGAACUAGCCUUUGAUACUGGCGACCUUGAGUCCGGGAGAGGUGAGUGGAACUGCGAGUGUAGAGGUGAAAUUCGUAGAUAUUACGCAAGAACACCAGUGGCGAAG